AUCGCUUCUCUGCCUUUUGGCUAAGAUCAAGUGUAGUAUCUAAUAAGCCCACAGGUCAUAAUGUUGUAUUUUAAUCUUGUUUUUAAGUUGUAUUUCAA
Podarcis lilfordi (Lilford's wall lizard) is the source of this 98-nucleotide non-coding RNA. The record is from the annotation of a GenBank genome assembly. NCBI's taxonomy places the organism in Eukaryota, Metazoa, Chordata, Lepidosauria, Squamata, Lacertidae.